AGCCCAAAAACAGGUCCCUAGCCCAACCCAAACCAGACUACAUUCAAAUCAGAUUAACCCAAGUUUCUGACUCAGAUUCAGACCAUAACCAAAACCCAUUCACUCAAACCCAGAUCAAACCCAAUUCACGGAGUAGGUGGAACCGGUUCACAGUCUAAACCCAGUUCAAGGUCUGGUUCACAAGUGAGGCACGGAUUUCAAAGCAAG
Molecule: long non-coding RNA, 207 nt
Filed under: Phoenix dactylifera (date palm)
Lineage: Eukaryota; Viridiplantae; Streptophyta; Magnoliopsida; Arecales; Arecaceae
Description: long non-coding RNA (PDAC_LNC010952)
Source: RNAcentral